UACGGAGGGUGCAAGCGUUAUCCGGAUUCACUGGGUUUAAAGGGAGCGCAGGCGGAUUGGUAAGUCAGUGGUGAAAGGCUUAAGCUUAACUUGGGGACUGCCAUUGAUACUAUCAGUCUUGAAUGUUGUUGAGGUUUGCGGAAUGGGUCAUGUAGCGGUGAAAUGCAUAGAUAUGACCCGGAACACCUAUUGCGAAGGCAGCAGGCUAAACAAAUAUUGACGCUGAGGCUCGAAAGCGUGGGGAUCAAACAGG
This 253-nucleotide ribosomal RNA is filed under the name uncultured bacterium. RNAcentral describes it as "partial 16S ribosomal RNA". It matches the Rfam family "Bacterial small subunit ribosomal RNA", at positions 524 to 776 of the family's 1533-position model. The record is from RNAcentral.